CAUCUAUAAUUUUUGGGAAUCAAAGCUAGGGUUUCAGUUUCAACCACCCUUUACCCCUUUUGCGAUUCAACUCUAUUCGAUUGGGCUUUGAUUCAUUU
This is a long non-coding RNA of Telopea speciosissima, 98 nucleotides long. RefSeq lists it as uncharacterized. The transcript is spliced from 3 exons. The record is from RefSeq and is a predicted model, not a curated record. Lineage: Eukaryota; Viridiplantae; Streptophyta; Magnoliopsida; Proteales; Proteaceae.